Molecule: ribosomal RNA, 398 nt
Filed under: uncultured bacterium
Lineage: Bacteria
Description: bacterial SSU rRNA
Rfam family: Bacterial small subunit ribosomal RNA
Source: RNAcentral
AUUGAACGCUGGCGGCAUGCCUUACACAUGCAAGUCGAACGGCAGCACGGGGCAACCUGGUGGCGAGUGGCGAACGGGUGAGUAAUGCAUCGGAACGUGCCAUUGAGUGGGGGAUAACGUAGCGAAAGUUGCGCUAAUACCGCAUAUUCUGUGAGCAGGAAAGCAGGGGACCGCAAGGCCUUGCGCUCUUUGAGCGGCCGAUGUCAGAUUAGCUAGUUGGUGAGGUAACGGCUUACCAAGGCGACGAUCUGUAGCGGGUCUGAGAGGAUGAUCCGCCACACUGGAACUGAGACACGGUCCAGACUCCUACGGGAGGCAGCAGUGGGGAAUUUUGGACAAUGGGCGCAAGCCUGAUCCAGCCAUGCCGCGUGAGUGAAGAAGGCCUUCGGGUUGUAAGG